UACGUAGGUGACAAGCGUUGUCCGGAUUUACUGGGCGUAAAGAGCGCGCAGGCGGUCGAUCAAGUCGAGUGUGAAAGCCCCCGGCUCAACUGGGGAGGGUGAUUCGAUACUGAUCGACUCGAAGGCAGGAGAGGGUAGUGGAAUUCCCGGUGUAGUGGUGAAAUGCGUAGAUAUCGGGAGGAACACCAGUGGCGAAGGCGACUACCUGGCCUGUUCUUGACGCUGAGGCGCGAAAGCUAGGGGAGCAAACGGG
Molecule: ribosomal RNA, 253 nt
Filed under: uncultured bacterium
Lineage: Bacteria
Description: partial 16S ribosomal RNA
Rfam family: Bacterial small subunit ribosomal RNA
Source: RNAcentral